GCCUGGGUGGCUCAGCGGUUGAGCAUCUGCCUUUGGCUCAGAACUGGAGCCCAUGAUCCUGAAGUCCUGGGAUCAAGUCCCACAUCGGGCU
RNAcentral lists this transfer RNA (91 nucleotides) under Canis lupus familiaris (dog). It matches the Rfam family "tRNA". Rfam says of the family: Transfer RNA (tRNA) molecules are approximately 80 nucleotides in length. Their secondary structure includes four short double-helical elements and three loops (D, anti-codon, and T loops). Lineage: Eukaryota; Metazoa; Chordata; Mammalia; Carnivora; Canidae. The record is from Rfam by way of RNAcentral. RNAcentral also lists the same sequence under 1 other name.